AUUAAUAUAAGUGCGUCCAAGUCUAGUUGUUAUUUUAUUAAUUGUACAUAUAUAUAUAUAUAUAUAUAUAUAUAUAUAUAUAUAUACACACACGCGCGCGAUAAUUUAGGCAUCACAUAUAUAGAUUCUCCUAAAAUAUGUGACUCAUAAACACUAUCACGUACGGUAUCACCUAUUCCUCCUCAAUCUCCGAUUCCUUUAAAAGGUUGGUUAUGGGAAAAUUCAUGCUAAGAAGGCAAAAAAGGAUUUUAAACUAUUUUUAAGCUCAACUAUAUAUCGACCUAAUAUACAUGAGCUUUGUACAAGUAAAUUAUUUUAUUUAGUGGUUGGCUCAGCAUUAGUGAAUAAACACACCGGUAACAUUUUGAUAAUCCCCCAAUUAAGUAUGGGAAUCAACUCUAUAUAGGGGCGAAAAAGCUUGUAGUAUUUGAUUUAGCAGCUUUAUUAUUUUCAACCUUAAGAGAUAUAUGGAUCGAUGCACACUUAAAUUUUAAACUUGUACUUUAAUUUUAGUACUGCUUUUUUCCAUGCAAUCAUCCUACAACUUUGUAAUUAAAAAAAAAAAACCCAAAAAAAAAAGAUUCAUAUUCAAAAAGAAAGCCUGAUGGACCUCAGUGUCAUUAUUCAUAGUGAAACACCUCUGCAAAAUCUCCAUCACGGAAAAGAAAACGAAGGGGAAAAGAAGGUGAAAAAAUUUAAAAACCCACGUGGCUACAUCUUCAGAACUCGGUUCCCGAACUCCGAGAAGCUUUGGAGAAGUUCAAACAUUGUAUAUAAUAAUACACACACACACACAUACAUAUAUGAGCCUUUAACACCUAAUUACUCAAGCAGGAUAAGCAAAUUUACAAAGCAUAUAUAUACUUAGUCACAUGAUACACUACUAAAACAGGUAUAAUUGACACGAGAAAAAACUCUCUGAUAUCUGAUUAGUUCUUUGCGUGAAAAGCUUAUAUAUCUUUUUCUUUUAUUUUUUUGCUUUUUCACUUUCCUUGGGAAAUUAGUGGUGGUGACCACCUGGUCCUUCGUCUGGAGGCGGCUUCGUAGGCCUUUUUGAGAGAGCUCGCUGAAUGGUGGGAACAUCUUCCUGCAAUAUGUAACAAAAUUAAUGCAUCAUGUAUACACAGAAAAAAGAAGAAGAAAAGAAGCAUAAAUAUAUAACUAGCCAUAAAUUAAACAAAGAAGAAGAAGAAGAAGAAGAAGAAGAAGAAGAAGAAGAAGAAGAAGAAUCUCUCUUACAGUAGGUUUGUGUCCGUUCUCUUCCUCCGGAGGAGGUGGAGUUGGUUCGUUGGGGUCAUCAAAACAAUCCCCCCAACCCAAGCAGCAAAAAGCUCUUAAAAUAUAUCGUAGGAAUGGAUGAGGAACGGCUUCAGUGAUGGAAGAGCAUUUCACCAUUCCCAUGGCCAUUUGGGAACUCUCUCUCUCUCUCUCUCUCUCUCUCUCUCUCCCUCCUCUCUCUCCUCUCUUUCCUCUUCUCUUAAUUACUCUCUCUCUUACACACAAAAAAAUCUAUUUUGCUAGUGUACGUUCAUAUAUGCCCACUGAGUUAAUACAUUUAUUGGAACGGAUCAGUGAGGCAUGUGUUAUUGACGUUUCUACCCCUAUGUUUUCGCUUUAUAUUAUUUUGUAGUUUCGGAUACAUUUAGUACUGGUAAAUUCAUUUAUUGAUGGCCAAAUAGUUUUUAGUUGGUCGUAUUACAUUUCCUGGUCAACUUGUUUCCACGUGCUGUCACACUAUAUAUAUUAUCUACCUAUUAUCUAAUCUGAAUUAAUAAUAAUUCUUUUUCCUCUUCGCUCUAAAUUAAAAAAAAAAUGAAUUUCUUUCGUAACAAUAAUACACAAAGGAUGAAUUAUAAUGAAGGAGAUUCUAUAGUCUACAUAAUUAUGCACGAAAUUAUAAUAGACAAUUGGAUAUUUUUUAAUGAAGGAGAUUUUAUGGACUACAUAAUUAUGCACGAAAUUUAUAAUGGACAAUUGGAUAUUUUUCGUCGUAUCUUUUGCCAUUUUUCAGUCGAAAUGAAAAAAUAAAUCCAACUAGCAAGAAUUAAUGAUACUUAACAUAAAUAUUGAUCACAUGCUAACAUAGGUAAUUAAACUAUGUAAGUCACGUAGGCACGCGUCUCGAAGCUAAUUUUGUACCAGAACCCUUAUUAUUCAUUAAUUCCCAAUGUAGCUUCCCUACAUAAAAACGAUAGCAAUCUAUAUUACUAUAAAUACAUAUAGAAUAUGUAGGAGUUAUUGUUCCUCCAAUUAGGAUGCAACCAAGUUGGAUCAAGGGGGUACAAGGGUCCAUCACCUUCCAAUCUGUUUUCUUGUCGGAUCAGAGAGAAUUGAUUUUCAGCUCUAUAUUUCUUAAUCGAUCGAGAGACGAAUUCAAAAUGAAUUGAUUUUUUUCUUUUUAUUUUUGGCUCCCACUUAUGUAUUGCUCCAUUUGAAAAGUAUUAUGGCGGAAGCUCAAUCAAACCGGAUCCAUUUACAUCCCUACCUCCAAUAAUUACUGGUUAGCUUGUUACUUUGUAUAUACACCAAGCUAUUUUUGAAUAGGAGCCAGUAAACUUUGGAAAUUAAGAGGUAAUUUAGAAAACAGAAAAAGUCCGAGGGGUGUGAUGGUAAAAGCCACUUAGCGAGUAAAUAACCAUGACCGGGGAGCUCACCUACUCUCCUUCGAGGCCGCUCGAGACAAACACUGCAAACGCCUCUGCACCGACUCCUACUACAUUAAACAACCAACACCACGUCACCACUGAGAUUUCCAGGUCCAUAUAUACGAAAUCCCCUGGGAAUAAAAUUCUAUGCUGAUCAGUUUGUUUCGAUAUUUAAGAAAAUUAUUCAAUUUACUUUAAUUGAGAGAGCCGUUGGAUUCAAAAUUUAUAAUAUUUCUAAAAUAUUUUAUAUUUUUGUAUUUGGAAUGUCGAAUUUGUCAUUAACUUAUCAAGCUAUAAUGAUUCCACAAUAUUUUUAAUAGAGAAUAUAUAGUAUAAUAUAUAUUCUCGAAAUAUUACAAAUCGUGAGCCAAACAGAUCCUAAAUAUUUUAUCAACUUUAGAAAAUUAAUUCAAGCGGAUUGUUAGGUACUACUCUACGUAACCAUCUAAUUAUACUUCUCGCCUGUUGAUUAUUAUAUCAACUUUAAAUAAGAAAAUGGCUACUAAGAUCUGUUCGCUGGUAAUAUUUUGUUUACAUAUGAUUAAGUCUAAACCCACGUGGUUGUCUGGUCAAACGUCCAAGUCAAGCUUUGGAGGUUUACGAAGUUUCGUGGUCUCAAGUAAUUAAGUAUCUUAAUCAAGGCACACAUCAUGCGAACUCCUAGCGAGACUGCAUAAAAAUGGUUUGAUUUGUACCACUAAUUGAAUGCCUCACAAAUUUACUCUAGUACUUAUUUAUAUAUUAAGCAAUAUACCUGUUCACAUGCACUCCAGAAUAAAGUGUACAUCUGACACCUCUUCAUUCAAGAGCCAAAAAUUGACCUUUGCUUUACAUAUUUUUUUUCAUAAAUAUUUAAAAUUUAAAGGGCCAUUAGAAUUCCUAAUAUUUUUUCUAUUUAUUUAUAGUUUCGUGUGACAUUCAUAAGUGGAUUUUUUUUUAAAAAAAAAUAUCCUGGGUCCAGGGUACGUAAGGGUUUUUUUUUUGAGAGAUUACGUAAGGGUUUGCAAUAAUAUUAAAAAACGAUUUACUCGGUCUUUUAAACUGACUAAGAACGCACGCUCAAUACAUAAUGCUACCUGGUCAAGACCCAGCCAAUUAAAACCAUUUAGCAGUUUCACAUUGACUAGGUCACAUCGUAGUGGUUUUAGUUUAAAUACUUCCCUAAUAAGAUUAAAUAUUGAGUCAAAUGUAACCAAACUGCAAAUUGAUUAAUAAAGAAAUUAAACACAAUCAAACACAAUAUUGGUAUAGCCGUAUAGAUCCAGUUACUUCAUUUUUUACAUCCUUAGAAAUGAAAAACUGAAUAUAUUAUAUUAUAUUUAUGGUAGGUAAAGUUUUUUUUGAGAAUAGGUAGCACGCUACCUGCUUCAUUCAUUGAAUAAAUGAAUUAGGCUACAAAGAUGAGACAACCAAAAUCUCGAAAAAAAAAAAAAAAAAAAGAUGUCAUAGAGCGUCUUUUCAAGAAUCAAUCAAAAGCUUGAGUCUUCGCACCGCUAAAAUAGGGUCAAACUGAAUAUCACGAAAAAUAAGAUUAUUUCUAGCCAUCCAAAUGGUCCAUCAACGUGCAGCUAAUUCAGAUAGACCGUUUCUUCUACUAUGGUAGGUAAAGUUCGAUGGAAUAUUUUACGCACCUCGUUGGGCACUGUGUGCUAUAAGUUAUUAUAAGUAAAAUAUUUGACGUACAACCCCCCCCCUGAAUCUAUGUCGAAGUCAAAUUAGUACAUCUUUUUAAGGGAAAACUUCAAAAACCCCCCCUGUGGUUUCGUGCAUUCUCACUUUGCUAUCCUGUGGUUUAAAACGUAUCAAUUUGCCCCCCUGUGGUUUCGUUUUUAUCUUUUUGUUAUCAAUUUUAUUAUUAUUUUUUUUAAAAUCAGUGACAAAGUUAAAAUUAAAGGAUACUAAAGUGACUAUUCGAUAAAUAUAUAUGGUUAUCUGAAGUUUUUUGUAUAUAAUUUAACGAAAUAUUAACGAAAAAGCUUCCGAAAAGAUAAAAAUGAAACCACACGGGGGUAAAUUGAUACGUUUUAAACCACAGGGUAGCAAAGUGAGAAUGCACGAAAUCACAGGGGGGGUUUUUGAAGUUUUUCCUCUUUUUAAUGAAUGUUGUUCUGACUGGACAGUAAAAAUAAAUAAAUGGGGGUUACGUACCUUGAAACAAUUUAUUGUGUUUUUUUUUAAUUAGAAAUGCAUAUAAAUUUUCAACCAGUAGUACUGAUUUGUUUAUUUUUUUCCUUUUUGUUUUGUGAGAAUUUGAUUUGAACUCAAAAUAUUCUACAUGUGCUGCUAUCAUAUAACAUAAUAGCUUUAAAAUCUCAAACUAGUGAAACACGAUAUUUUUAUAUUUUACAUAUAUUAAUUGUCAUUCAGAUGAGGGGAUCUGUCCUAAAUAUUAAGCAAAACUCUAAGUCUUAAUGCAGGAAUUAAUUGAAGGUUCCUGCACAUAUAUUAAUUAGAAAUUCUACUCCAAGUGUAGUAUAGAUCCUCUAGUCAGAGGGUGAGUGCCUUGAAAAGGUUAAUUUGUAGCCAUUCCUCCUAUAUAUUUACCUGCAAUAGGUUGUAAUGCAAAAUCGUUCAAGUAAUAAUAAUAAUUAUUGGUAUUAAAAAAAUAUACUAUAUUUGAGUAUCCUGAAGGUUUAUUCAGUAGCAGAAUUAAAAAUACUAAGGUUUUUGAUAUUCAGCCUCGAUCAAAAUCUCAUUUGUUUCUCGACAAAGCAAAUACCAUCGCCAAAAAUUUAUUCUUUAUGCAAACAUUUCACUAAAAUCCACUCUUGCUGUGAGCGAAAACUAAAGCAAGGCGAUAGAAAACAAAUUAAACACCCAUUUCCUUACAGUAGCAAUGUGUUAGUUGUACCAACCCCACGAAACGAAAAAUUAAUUUGCCCUAAUUAAAUAAAUCCCAUAAUACUACGUAUAUAUUGACGCUUGUAAAUUUUUCAGACUCAGCUACACCAACAUGCACGCGUCCCUACCUCCCUCUCGCAGGGAUUUAAUAUUAAUAAAUUAAUAUUAAAUACCAAAAAUCUCUUUUUACAAUAAAUUUUAGGAUCUACGUAUAAUAAAAUUUAAAAAAUUAAAUUCUAUUCUAAAUCAAAUCAUUAAAUUUUAGUGAUUUUUCUAAUACAAAUAUAUAUAAUCGUAAUUUAAAACUUCCAAAACUACAUCUGAUUUUUAAAAAUUUAAUCCUUAUAAAAAAAUCUUUAAAUUUUUUUUAUAAGAACACUAAAGAAAAAUUACCGAAAAUAAAAAUUCUGAAAAUUAACAAAAUUAAAUUCUCAUUAUUUUAUUUUUAUUUUGAGAAAAAAAUAGCAAGCUACCUGCUUCAUUUAUUAGGUAAAAUGAACUAGACAUAUAUGGUGAAAGCAACUAAGACUUUCGAAAAGAAAUUCUCAUUAUUUUGUCAUUGCACCACCAUGUCGGUGACUCUGAGGGCUUGUUUGGUUCAUCCAUUUUGGGUAUCGAAUGGGAAGCGGUUUGAUCAAAUCCGGUUAAUUUUGUUUGGUUCGCAUGAAUCGGCUUGGGAUUUCUAUUCCAGACUGGAAUGGGAAUGGCCCAUUAGCCUUCAACUUGAUUCCGGUCUUCUAGCUCGGAUUGAGAUUUCAUUUCGGAAGCCCACUAAGUUCUCGAAGUCCAUGUGACCAUCUCACCCUCCUUCUCUCCACCCCUUUCUCAUCAAAAAAAAAAAAAAAAAUCUAUCCUCUCUCAAAACCCUAUUCCUAACCCACAUCAAUAAAAGUUUUUAAAAAUAAAUUUGAUAUUUUUUUUGAAAAACUUAUUAAAGAAUAGUAUUAUAUUUUUCAUAAAUUUUAAAUAAUAUAAAUUUAUAUUUGAGAGUAAAAUCAGCAUUAUAGUAUCCUAUAAUUUUUUUAAUUUAUACGAACCAAACAAUGAAAUGUGAAUAACUAAUUCCAAUUCCCAAUCCACAAAUAAAUCAAACGUCUUGGAAGAGUGGGUCAUUCCAAUUACUAUUCCAAUUCAUUCCCAUUUCAUUAUCCAUUCCAAUUCCACCCUUGAACCAAACAAGCCCUGAAUGUCGUACCCACUCUUUUUCCCAUUGUAGACCAUCAUCUACAGCAACUCUUGAAGGAGUCACUUUUGCGCAUUCUUCCCGUCAUCAAGGGCGAAGUCAAUUAUAGCAUUUUGAGAAACUAGCUAGUAUAAUAAGCGAAUUUGCGAGGAACAAAAAAAAUAAAGGUGGAUAUUUCUGGUUGAAAGCAAUUUUAAACCCCUCCACUUUCGGUAAAACAAAUGUGCCAUAAUAUAUUGUACACUAGGUAUCCUUACUGUACAGUCCUUAUCAUUCAGCAAGUUACAAUUUUUCUUAUUUAAUUAUAAAAUUAUUAUAAAGUUUGGGUAAAUAAUUAUAUCAAAAUAUUAUUGAAGAGUUCCCUAUAGAAUGAAUUAUUCUCCGCUCUGGAGCUGUUUCAGAACCUCCAAGUAGGAGAUUAAUUAAGGAGUCCAGAUAUUCUGUACUAUAUAUUCACCCUCUUUUUCUAAAGUUGAUCGGACGAUCUUCGUACAAUCAAAUGUGAAGAAGAGAUAAGAAUAUUUCACGACUUUGGUGCUAAAACAAACACAAAUACUGUUGACUUUUUCGGAAUCAGAUAUUCAACCUGAGACAUCCAUCCAAACAAAACGUAACUAAAGUUGAGAGGGAGUCCACAUAUUCUGUUCCCACUCGUUCUCAAAGGUGCGUGCUGAGUCUAAUUUAAUUACUAGUAUAUAUAUAUGCGCGAUAAUUUGGGCAUUAGAGAGAUUCUCAUCAAAUGUGUGGCCCUUAUGCACAAUUACCUAUUCCUCGUCAAUUUCCAGUUACUUUGAAAGGUUUUUUUUUUCUUUUUUUUUUUUAGAGAAAGAUAGCAUGGUACAUGUUUUGUUUAUUUUUUUAAAAAAUAAAUUUAGCUGAAAAUAUAAAUCAAUUAGGAUUCAAAUUUGGAACUCGGUACCAACCACCAAGUCCUUUCCCACUUGCGCUAGCUUUGAAAGGUUGGUUAGGAAAAAUUUCAUGAUAAGAAGGCAAAAAAGGGUUUUUAAUUAUUUUUAAACUCAACUAUAUAUCAACCUAAUAUACACGAUAUAUCUUUGUACAAGUAAAUUGUUUUAUUUAGCGGUUUGCUCGACAUUAGUGAGAAUUGCAAUUUAACUCUAUCUAUGAGCGAAAAAGCUUGUACGUAGUAUUUGAUUUAGCAGCUUAAUUAUUUUUAACCUAAAGAUAUAGAUGCAUAGUUAACUUUAAACAUGCACAUACUUUUAAUUACUACUUUUUAUUUUUUCCGUUGCAUGCAUGCAUAUAUAAUUAGGAAUCAUCCUAUGAUUUUUAUUCAAAAAAAAAACAAAAGAAAAAAAAAAGAUGCAUAUUCAAAAAGCCAAAUGAACCUCAAAAAGCCAAAUGAACCUCGGUUUAAUUAUUCAAUAUAUCUAAAAACUCUGCAAAAUAUCCAAAAGGAAAAGAAAACGAAGGGGCAAAAAAAACGUCCAAAUUCAAAAAUCCGCUGGGCUUUAAAGAAGCUUAAAUAUUGCAUAUAUAAUUUAUACACAAGCCGUUGACACCUACUCUACGCUCCCAAGGAUGGGCAGAUUUAAUUACAAAGCAUAUAUAUAUAUAUAUAUAUAUAUAUAGUCACAUGAGAUAUUAAAAAAAGGCACAACUAACACGAUAUAUAUUAAUCACACUCUCUGAUCUCUGAUUAUUAAUUUCUUUGCAUGAGCAGCAUAUAUAUCCUUUUAUUUCUAUUUCCUUUUCUUUUCACUUUCCGUGGGAAACUGGUGGUGGUGAUCACCUCCUCCGUCGGCCGGAGGCGGCUUCUUAGGCCUCCUUCCUGAGAGACCUGCUCGAAUGGUGGAAACAUCUUCCUACAUACGUAACAAAUACUGCACGCGUCACGUUAUACCCAGAAAAAUAAAGCAUAUUGGCCAAAUUAUUAUUUUUCUAAAAAAAAGUUUUAAGAUCAUACGAUUCAAUACCAACAUGCAACAUAUAAAUUUGCUACCGCUAUGACAAAGAAAUCCUGAGAAAGAGAGAGAGAGAGAGAGUCUUAUUACUGUAGCCGUCGAGCCGCGCUCUACAGCCGCUGGAGUUAUUCCUGAACUACUGCUGCGGCCAUCAAAAGAAUCCCCCCGACCAAAGGAACAAAGAGUUCUUUUUGAACAACAUCGUAAAAAUGGAUGAUAACAUAAUGCAGUGAUUGAAGAUCCUCCCUUCGUUACUAUGGCCAUUUGGAAACUCUCUCUCUCUCUUAAACCUAUUUUUCUAGUAGGGUAUUUCAUGACUAGCACUGAGUUAAUACAUAUAUCUGUAGCAGUGAAUCAAUGAGGCAUGUGUAAUUGACCUUUCUACCCCCUUGUUAUGUGAGACAUACUUUAUUAAUUAAAAAAUAAAUAAAAAAUCUUUCAUUGUUGGACAAGUAUUACCUUCCGUUUUGUCGAACUACAACAACAUAUUUCUUAGUCAACUUGACUUCUAUUUAAUUACUAGGAUUAAUAACUAAUUUUUUUUUUACACUCCCUCAAAAUAAUUAAAUAAAAGAUAUAUUACCUUCUUUCGUAACUAAUGGUACGUACAUGAAAGCUGAAUUAUAAUGAAGGAGAUUCUAUUAACUACAUAAUUACAACAUGGGAUCAAAAUGGAUAACUAAAUACUCAUUGUAAUUUUUUUUUCUUUUUGAGUGAGUAGAAAUACGAGAAUCAUUUAAAAAAGAAAGUUAAAACAAAACUAAUAUGUGAUAUAAUUAAAAGCAAAUUAUUCAGCAAUAAUUUAUAUAGUAUAAAAUAACUGUAUAUAUUCUAUCUUUGCGAUUUACUAGUUUGUAUUUGAAUAUUUAGUACGUCUGCAAGUUUUAUUUAUCUUAUUUUAACAAAUUAAUUCAACUUGAUUGUUUACGUACUAUGCUACAUAUAUUGACAUCUUACUAUACUUCUCAUUCUUAAUUAUUAUAUUGACUAUGAAUAAAGAAAUUUGAGGACAAAGAUACAUUCGAGCAUCCAAAUGAGCUCUAAAGUAAUUGAUAAUAUUUAUUUUAUAUUUAUAUAUAUAUAUAUAUAUAUAUAUAUAUAUAUAUAUAUAAAGUUGGUGCUUCUGAUUUUUUAGCCCUUGGAUUAAAAAUUUUACGGUUGGGAUAAUAGCGGUCCCUUCAGGAUUGAGUGGUUCCCAUUGAUUAAUUAUGUUAAUUCAAUAGUUAAAAAUAAUCAAUGAGGUUGAUCUAAGGGUUAAAAAAUCGAAAGCACCAAUCACUUUAUGCUUCUGGCAUAAUAAUUCUACUUUAUAUAUAUAUAUAUAUAUUAGGUGUAAACCACCAUGGUUUGGUGAAACGUCCAAGUCAAAGCUUUGGAGGCUUACCAAGUGUUGUGAUCCGAAGUAAAUUAAAGUAUCUCAAUCAACACAUUACAUACAUCAUGUUGAAAGCUGAGGUUUCCACAUUAAAAGUUUGCUCUGUCCCACUUGGAUGUCUCAUAACUUAUUACAUUUAGUAUAUAUUUAUGUAUUUGCAGUUUUGUACGACAUGCAUUCAUAAGCAUUAUAUCAUGUACACAGUGUCACUAUCUAAAGUUAUUACCUAUAUUUUUUAUUUCUUGUUCCGUUAUGUCACAAUAAAUUGAAUAACAAAAAAUAAAUCCUUUCUUUGAAUUUGAAGUAGAUUAGAUGAAAAAAAAAAAAAAUCCAUGGGCACUGUAUUGUAAGGGUUAGCAAUAAUAUUUAAAAACUAUUUAAUCGGUCUUUGAAACUGCGUAAGAAGUAUUCAACCUAGGUAUAAUUAAUGCUGGUCAAAAGACCAGCCAAAACCAUAAAAAAACAUCUCAAUUUAAAUAGUUGCUUAAGAUUAAAUAUGAGUCGAAUGUAACCAAACUGCAAAUUAAUAAAGAAAUUAAACACAAUAUUCAAUCCCAAUGGUAGAGUUAUUUCAAAAUUUUCAAACCCAAUGAUAAUUAAAGUUCGAUGGAAUGUUUUACCUCAUUGGGUGAAACAGGAAAAUGUUAUAAGUAAAAUAUAACAUGGUAUUGUUCCGUGUCCAUAACCCUACAACUUUAUUUAAUUACAAGUUAAGAGAUUCCUUCAUCUUUUUAUUUAGUAACUCGAAUAGUGGGUUGAGAGUUUUAUGGCCUCCAAUUUGAUUUGAACAUUGAAUUUCUGCAUGCAUACUCUGUUAUCGUAUGAAAUAAUAACUUUAAAAACUCAAGCUACUAAGAUAUGUAUGAUACCUUCAUAUUUACACCCAUUAAUUUGACAUUCAGAUUAGGGGAUCUGCCCUAUAAUUAAGCAAAUCCCUAAAUCAUAUGUGACGUAGUGCAUAUCCUCUAGUCCCAGGUGAGUUUUUGGAUAGGUUUCCACGUCCGUUCCUGCCAUAGUUGAUAUAGGUUGUAAUGUUAUUUUAUUAAAUAAUAAUAAUUUCAUAUUAAAAAAAUAUGUAUAAAAAAGAAUUUGCUGGUUGAUACUCAAAGUUCAAUUCAGAUUCGAAGCCUAGUUACUUCACAUUUCGAAUUAUUAAGUUUAUUUCUAAAACGAAAUAAACAAAACGAUAACAUACUACAUUUCUCUCAAAAAAAAAAAAAAAAAAAAA
Molecule: long non-coding RNA, 11197 nt
Filed under: Ananas comosus (pineapple)
Lineage: Eukaryota; Viridiplantae; Streptophyta; Magnoliopsida; Poales; Bromeliaceae
Description: long non-coding RNA (ACOM_LNC004353)
Source: RNAcentral